GACGAACGCUGGCGGCGUGCUUAACACAUGCAAGUCGAACGGAAAGGCUCCAGCUUGCUGGAGUACUCGAGUGGCGAACGGGUGAGUAACACGUGGGUAAUCUGCUCUGCACUCUGGGAUAAGCCUGGGAAACUGGGUCUAAUACUGGAUAUGACCUUUCUCCUUAUGGGGUUUGGUGGAAAGUUUUUCGGUGUAGGAUGAGCCCGCGGCCUAUCAGCUUGUUGGUGGGGUGAUGGCCUACCAAGGCGACGACGGGUAGCCGGCCUGAGAGGGUGAUCGGCCACAUUGGGACUGAGAUACGGCCCAGACUCCUACGGGAGGCAGCAGUGGGGAAUAUUGCACAAUGGGCGGAAGCCUGAUGCAGCGACGCCGCGUGAGGGAUGACGGCCUUCGGGUUGUAAACCUCUUUCAGCAGGGACGAAGCGUAAGUGACGGUACCUGCAGAAGAAGCACCGGCUAACUAUGUG
RNAcentral lists this ribosomal RNA (467 nucleotides) under uncultured bacterium. Its description in RNAcentral is "partial 16S ribosomal RNA". It matches the Rfam family "Bacterial small subunit ribosomal RNA", at positions 28 to 507 of the family's 1533-position model. The record is from RNAcentral.